This is a long non-coding RNA of Dromaius novaehollandiae (emu), 4616 nucleotides long. RefSeq lists it as uncharacterized. The record is from RefSeq and is a predicted model, not a curated record. The transcript is spliced from 3 exons. NCBI's taxonomy places the organism in Eukaryota, Metazoa, Chordata, Aves, Casuariiformes, Dromaiidae.
GCGCCGGGCGCUGGCAUCCAGCCGCUCCGCGCAGCCAGCGCACAGGGGGGAGCGCGGGGCCGGCGCUGCGCUCCACGAGGCGCGGGGCGCUCGGCCCGCCGCUGAACCUCGCUACAGCGAAGCAGCCUGAAAAAUACAAGUGACCUGACCCCUACUGGCGAGUUUAUGAAACUUGAUGUCUGCACUAGGGACAGAUGUUUCCUAGAGACAGAUUAAAGAAUGAGGAGCACAACAACAUGACAAUGCAAGGGAAAAGAAAUUAAUGGCUUGCAGUAAUACAGAAAAGAUAAUCUACUGACUGCAGCACUCACUACUUGGCCACAUCAUUCAAACAAACACUGUAAAGAACCGGGCGCCUAGAAGAACCUAGUGGGCAGCAGAGACUGCAUUGAACUUGUUGCAUCUUACUGCAACUUACUGCAGGAACUAGAACGUAGGUAUUAUAUCCACAAGCAAGAAUUAAGUUUCAUAACCAAAGUGUCCUAGAAGAAUUUGGCUUAUGAGCAUGUUUUCAUUUCCUUUACUGCUCUAUUCAUAAGAGUUUUUACAAUGAGUAUUUUAGGAAGAAUUGAGAACUGCUUUAUAGAUAUGGGACAAGAAACAAAAAAUAAUGUUUUUUAGGUCUAAGAAAUCAUUAUCAUAUAGGCUUUUUCUUUUUUAAGCUAUAUUAAAAACAAUACUGUAGCGUAGUUAACACCUUCAGCAGCUCUCUAGUUAAAACACUACUCAUCAUGGAUAGUGAUUGAAGGCCUAAGAACUCUGAGGAAUGGCCUCUGGCAAAUCUAACAACAGAAGCUUAAGAUGCACUAUAUCUGACUUUAAGCUUGAAAAAGGAAUUCAUUUUUAUAUUACACAUUUCACUGGUUUUAGUAAGUUUUACUUACUGGAUAAUGCACCUGGGCUUUGUGUUUAGCCAAAGCACCAUGGAAACAUUUAAACAAUUUACAUGAAUAAUAUUUCUAUUUUAGGGGUUUUGAAAGAGACUUACAGAGGUUGGACCUAAACUAUCUACUCCACCUCAAUGUUACUAUCUUUUUGAAAGACUCCAGUAAAGAAAGUUACUGCAUUCCUCAAAAAAAUUGAGGCAAGGCUAUUGAGACAAGUGAUUGCUGAGAUGUGAACAUUUUGUUCUAUGCAGAAUUAGAUAAAUUGUUAGGUUGAAUCAUGUUUCUGCCAGCUACAUAAGGUGAAGAAGCAGCUAACUGCUGUAGUUUUGGGGCAUUGCCCUACAGCCACAUGAAGGGAGGUGAAAACCAGGAGCACUGUCUGCAUGGUCCAGCUCUGGAGGCUCAGGCUGGACUUUGGGGAAAACCUCUUCACUCAGUGGGUGGCAGAGCAGCAUGACAGGCCACCAAGGGAGCCUGUGGAGUCCCCCUCCGUAGAGGCUGUCAAGACUCUGCUAGAUAAAGCCAUGGCUAACUUAAUCUGCUUUUGGACAGCUUUGUUUCAGGUGGGAAGCUGGACUAGAUAACCUCCAAAGUUCACUUCCAAUCAACAUUGCUAUGAUUCUACGUUAACAGAACAUUUACCUUGUCACCAUCUUGCAAGUCUUUGCAUAUGUCACCUGCAGAAGGCAGAUCUAGACAGAAGAAAUAAAAUGCAAAGCACUUUAGUAAUGUCAGAUUUGGCUAUAUACAGAAUUGAGAGAUUAAAUGCUAAAUGAUUUCUGAGAGAAAAAAAAAUCUUCCUUUAAAUUGGGGAUCAAAUAAAUCUGACCAGUAAUUUCUGCACUAAUUAAACCCUUUAUGCUUGAAAGCAAAAACAGUAAUUUUGAGGAAAGCUGUCUACAUAAUUUUACUACACAAUUGUAUUUUAAUGAUAGCUAUGAGAAUUGGAACAUUAGGUGUAGCAAAUGUAAUUUAGGACCAGCAUAGAUAUUUAUUCAAGAUCAGAAUGAAUUCAGAAGUCAUAUAUCCUUCAAUAUCCAUUUAAGCUACUCCAUGAGAAUGUUUUAAAGUCAUGACUUUAAAACAAGUGGUGGAUUGCUAUGACAGCUGAGAACAAGAAAGAACAAAAUGUAGCCUGUCAGGCUUUCCACAUGCUGAUGGUAUAGUCACCUGGAAUCUGAUAGCACAUCCCCCCAGAUGUAUUUUGGUAAUAAGCUUGUAUAUUGUAGGAGAUAAAUAAUGUGUCAACUACAUGUAAUUUCACCUAGUAACAGGAUUUUAUUAUGGAUAGAUAAGUGAUGUCAAGGUUUUGUUCAUACUAACAAAACAUUAAUAUGACAUGUAUAGCUUGUUUGAAUACACUUUGGGACAUCAGCAGUUACUAAGACAUGGUUGUAUAUAUACGCCCAUUUUUUCCACUGUGGUAACUUGACAUCCUUCCCUCCUUAUUCCUCCUUUGUUUAGUUUUCUGCAUCUGAGAUUCAUUACCCCUUAUGUCAUUUCAUCUAAAAACUGAGCCCAGAAGUACAUAAUAUAUAGUACAAUUUCCUGUGUAUUCCUCUGAUGUUCUCUAGUCAUGGCUAAUAAUGCAAAUACUUUUCAUAAGCCUCCUACAAGUUUUUAUGUAAGCAGAGUUUCUUAUGCUGAAUCAUCACUGUCUAUAAAAAUUUUUACUUAUGGGUGUGUUGGUAGUUUGAUGGGCAACCAUAUAUUAUAGCAUAUACUUAGUGUAGCCGGAGUAAAAAUGCUUUCAGGGAAUGUCAGCAUCAGAUUACAAGGAAAGUUUUCCCAACUUUCUACAAUAGUUGGAUAAAAUUCCAAGUCCCUAAAAUCUGAAGUCUAUGCUCUCAUAUGAAUAUUUAACAUUUUUUAUAAUUAAUAGUACUGCUACUGCACAGCUAACUGCUUAGUUUAAAAAUAAAUUUGUACCUCUAAGAUUACUUGAAAUAUUUUAUCAGCUCAGAAAACUCAAAUCUUAAUUAUACAUCCUGUGUCACAAAUGGUAUAUAUAGCUGAAAGAAAACUGGGAAUACAAAAGAAGCCUAUGAAUAAUCAAGAGUGAAUUUUAUCCCGUAACUUACCAUUUACCUAGAGUUCUGUAUCAAGUAUUAUUCAGUGAUAAAGCAGAGGAUCAAAUAUUUUAUGUCCAUUAUAAAUUCUGUGAUUGUGUUUUGCUGUUUAAUAAGUUUCUGCUGCAUGUUUGGAGCAUUACAUAGAUGAACAACUAAAUCAAGUUACUAGCCAUUCUUUAGAUUUACUAAAAAAAGAAAAGGUACUUUCAAACUGUCUUCCAAAAAUCAAAAUAUUUUAAUUUUUACUGAUAAAUUUUAUAAAUUUUCUUAGAAUUUAAAAUGGCUUUUAAAAAGCCAUCAUGAAAUGAGUUCCCACCCCUCAGUACACUGGUGCAACAAGCUGAAAAAAUGUACUCAGGGAUGUCUUUAACAACAAAGAGGAGAAUGGCAGCACCACAGAAACAGGAACCUGUUUUUAAUCAGUACAUUAGAAACAGAAAAAUUGGUUGAAAAGCACCUCUGGAAGUCAUCUGGUCGACCGCCUUCUCUGCCCCCUCAAAGCAGGACCAACCUCAAAGUUGGAAUGGAUUUUGAAGUUAACAGCUUGCUCAGGGCCUUGUCCAGUUGAGUUUUGAGUAUCUCCAAGGAUGGAGAUUUUACAGCCUCUCUGGGCCACCUGUUCUGGGGUUUGAUAAAAGUCUUUAGCCAUAUUUUUUAAAUGUAUAGUAAUAACCUUAGAUUUUAAUAUUAAAGUUGAAGCCAUAAUUAAAGUAAUACAGUGUGCUCAUAAUAUACCAACGGGAACUUGCGUGCACUAUUUACAUUAGUCAUACUGAGUCAGCUGACAAUACUCCGAAGCCUCUAGUAGCUUAAUACCAGAGAACAGAUCAGUUAAAAUUUGUAAACAGUAUUUUUCCUAUAACUAAGAACUCCUGGAAAAGCAAAAGCCAGGAGCUUGGGAUUAUAUUUGGUUAAAGCUGAAAUUAUUAAUAAACCUAAGUCUAAUCAAGCUGCUGUUUUUCCCAGUUACAAGUGCAGAAGUGUAACUAUGAAAACACAUUUUUGGUGACAAUGCAUAUGAUAUAAGUAACUAAAACAAUUUAUCAUCCUGUGCGGUACAUAAAUGAGAAACAUUAAGAAAACACAAUACAACUGUAUAGCUUACAAGUAAAUACUAGACUGUUUUCUCAGUUAAUGGAAACCAUUUAUUCUUUAUACUUCAGUAGAGAGUGGUGAGUGCUAAACUUCAGGAAUUCACAAAAUACAUUAUUUUUCAUGAUUCAUAUCUAAAAUGCAAGUUCCCUAAACCAGAUGAAUCACACAAUCACUUCAAGAAUAAAAACAGUGAAAUCAAGUAGAAUUUGCAUUUAUUACCAUAUAUUCAACUUUCUCUCGUUUUUCCAUCACUUAAAAUUAAUGGUGCUACUAAGCAUGUUGUGCACGUUCGAGGUCCUCAUCUCCUUUGGCUAUCACCACUCUUUUAGAACACACCACAAAGUGAAUCCAACCAAAAUGAUGUGCUGAUUUUGUAAUCACUAGUUUAUAUCUAGAUCCCUUAUCAUCAGUGUAUCAAAUCCAGUUCUUCAUUUGUUGGCCUAAAUUCAGAUUGUUUGCAGGUUCAAAUGUAUUUCCUUGUGAUUAUUUGCUCCCUUUGCUCUUGUAUGGGUGUUGGAAACAAUAAGGCCUUGUCUAAAUAAAAGCUUUACUGUUUUAAUUA